Molecule: non-coding RNA, 25352 nt
Organism: Zonotrichia albicollis (white-throated sparrow)
Lineage: Eukaryota; Metazoa; Chordata; Aves; Passeriformes; Passerellidae
Source: RefSeq, a predicted model, not a curated record
GACUGCUGUGUCACAGAGCUGCUGCUUUCUACAUUAUCGCAACUGCCAGAGCUCUUACUGCUGCAGUUUUCUAGUCGCAGUGCGGCAAAGCAGACGCAUAGAACCAGGCACAAAGCAGCAUAGAUUUUUUUUCAUUCUUAUCUUUUUCAUAUGAGGGGAAUAUUCCUGGUGUUAGCGUAGGAACAGACACAGCUUGGAUGUGUUGGCUUCCGCCUGGCAGCAUUUUCAGCUGAGCAGGGAUUGCUCGGAGCUCUGUACCCAAAUUGCCUCUGAGGAAGAACGCCUGAUUUCCCACUUUGCGUACUGAGAGGGGUUUUUUCUUUAUGCUACGGUGAUGUACCUGCAGCAAUAGGAUGAAGGAGAUGGCACUUGUCACUGUCCGUCCGACUGGGGCCUUUUGCAGGUACUCCACGGCCGAAGCUGUGCCAGCCUCCCAGGGUCAGAUAGACUGGUGAUGCAGAUUGCCGCAAUUUCUUACAUCAGUUAGGGCAAAGCUCAAACAAGAAACCAGACUCUCUGACCUAAAUCAGCCCCAGUCCUUCUGGAUACAGGGCAGCAGUCGACUAGCAAUGACACAACCAGCCAUCAAGUGGAGAGUCUCUGGGAUUGCAAUCUGUAUCAGUUGGAGUCUGAGAGAAUGAAACCCUUUCGGGUACCCAGUCGCUUCUUCUUCUAAUACUACAAAUACUACAACUGCAACAACUACUGCUGCUGCUUCUGUUUCUCUUGGCUGUAAGAAGCUGUUAAUUGCGGUUGGUCUCUGCCUGUACAUUUGCGUGGAUUAGUCUGUCUAUAACGCAGUCCUUAUCUGCUCCUGCUGGAAACCGGGGCAUGAAGUCAGCCUGCUUUAACAGUUGUUUCUUUCUGCGUGAUGCUAUGCAACUAGAAUGGGUUACACUGACAACAAAGGAACAAGCACAAAGCACCACUUUCUUUGCUGGACUGUUACAGGAACAUAGCUCUUCUUCGAUAUGACACCCUGGUCUCUUCUCUUUGCUGGCUUUUUGUGUUUUUUAAAUUUAAUUCAUCUAAUCAAAGAGCCUAACAGACACCAUCGUGAAUGUGGCUUUUAAUGAUUUGGAAAAGACAGCCUGUGGAGACUGCGAUUCGAGACAGCAACACAUUUAGGUUAUUGCCAAUUUUAAAUACUUGGUUUGUGAAGCGCAGCCCUAAGGGACGAGCUCAGUAACUGAGGGAGAGAUUGUAGAUAAAGAAAUAAAAAUGACAAGCAUAAUGGAGGCUCUGCAAAAGAGACUGUCAGAGAAUCAGUUCAUGGAUGGCAAUUUCACCAGUCUGAAUCUGAAUAAUUCAUAGAUUGAAAUUACUCUGCUUUCACCUUUCCAUUUAAACCGGCAUGAUCUGAAUCUCUAAUAAAUUUUCAAGAUAAAGUAAAAUGCCAAUUUGAAUCUGAAGAGCUUUUAAAACCAGAUGCUACACCCUGAAUCUUUCGAUACCUUUCACAAUUAUCCUGUGAGAACCACACUUCAUCACGAAGCACCAUUACCAGUGAAAAUUACUGUGAUUACAAUAGCAACAAUAGAAUACCAUCAAAUGAUCUCUAAUCUACCUAAUUUACCAAGUCUGACUGUGUGCCCAUUGUGUUUCACCACGUCUGGCAUUGGAUCAAUAUCACAGUGGAACAAAAAUGCCUUAGUGUGUGCUUCCUUUUGGUACCUUUGACUUUGACAGCACAGGAAAAAAAAUCUACCUGCUGUUAAAUGUUUUUACAGCCAAUCUACAUGCCUGCUGUAGGAUCUGAUUGAUUCUCUAUGAUUUUCUGUAGUGCUUGGGUAUCAGAUGUCUUUGUGUUACUAAUUAGUUUAUAAUGUAUACUCAUGCACAAAGACUGCAGCAAGUGAGUGCCAGCACAGGGACCCUGCCCUGCUGCUGCAGUUGUAGCGCUCUCACUGGGGAAGCCAAAAAGAGUUCGGUGCCUUAUGUGAAUAAUUACUCCUGUGUGAGGUGGAAAUGCUUUGUAGCAUCACAGGUCUUGGUCGUGCGAUGUGAAAAAUGUAUGCAAAAGCCACGGUCAAGAGAAAUCAUUGCACGUAAUACUAACAAGAUUUUCCCCCCAUUCAGCAAUUAGCAUGUGGUUGUGAGAGACAGGCUGUGACUCCUUCUGCGUGUGUGUGUGUGUGUGUGUGUGUGUGUGUGUGGGUAUGCAUGCACAUACAGAAAUGUAAAGCUACUGUGCUCUGUUAAUGAAUAUGUGCUGAUUUCUGAAAGUAACAACUUUCUCUAACAAGCCAGGCGCUGUGUUUUGCUGCAAUCUGCUCACUUGUAACAAAUCCCUCUUUUGAAGGUGUAAGUUUCCUAUAGGAUGAUGCGUGACUUCUGGAACAGUAAGUACCAUUUAUGCAAUAUGUUGGUGGCUACAGCUAUGCUGCAGAAUAGUAUUUUAAGCAUAGUUUGAGUCCUUGUGGCAUAAGUAGAAUGUGAAGAAGUGAGAAACGUACAGAAGGCUAGAAGCAGGCAUGGAGGCGACUGUAUCUGCUGUUUGUGUGUGUGUGAGUUGUACACUUCAGGCUUGUUUUUCAUUUUAUAAUCAGAUUUACUCUGCCUUCAGGGAAUAUUUUCUAAGGAAGGAAGGUAAGCAGUAUUUCUUCUUAUUUCUAUGGUGGUGUUGUAUUUCUGUUAAGGGAAACGCAUGUUUACAGCACAUAGUUAUAUAAUACAGCAUGAUCUCAUGGCAUCUAAUUAAAUGUUUCAAUAUUUGUUCACGUUAAAACUGCGCAAGAAAGCAUAUUUAAAAUAUGGAUUUUUAUUGAAAAUACACUUCUAAAAAUGCUAUACAAAAACAAUUUACAGAUUUUGUUUGCAUUAAUCUUUUGCUCUUUACUGUUGUCAAAUAAGUGCCUAUUCUACCUAAAUACUAAUAGUCUUGAAACCUUCGCUUUUUGUAUAUUUUGUCUUUUCAAAACACAUUUUACUGUACUUCUAAAUUUUCAGUGUAUUAGUGGAGACUCUUCUCUAGAGGUAGAAGGGGCAAAAGGCUUUACAGCUUGAGCUGUUAUAACAAAGGAACUUGAAAGGGCACAAAAUAUGAUUAUACAAAAGUCUCAAAUUUUAAAUGAUUCAGUAAUGUGAUUUAGCAACAUGCUGUUCUUAGACAACACACUCUGAAGGUACUACACUAUAUGGAGAUAAUUCAUCCAUUCAGUGCUAUACUUAUAUUUAUAUUCUUCGUUUUCACAUAGUAUUUGAAACUUAACAAAGAAAAAACUGAGAGCAAAUUCUGAAACUUUGGUAAAAGUGUAACACCUGCUUUAAGUUACUGUGGUAAUAAAAUCAAGACAUUUAGACUGAACUUUGCUGAAGAGAACUAGUCAUUGCGAUUUAACUAUUUUAUGAAGGACAUUUUAUGUUUUUAUGUACAGAAAUAUAACAUAUACUGACAUAAGUACUAUACUGCAAGGACCAUGCAAACAUAUAUGUGAAUGUUUUGCAAAAUACCAUACAAGUACCUGGCAGCACUUACGGUAUUAUUAACACUGCCACACUCCUCCAGUAUCAUAUACUGCAUUGAAACCAUGGUUAACCAACUGGAUUUCAUGGAGUAUUUACAACCCUAAUUUUUUAUCAGUCUUAUCUGCUGCAACAGCCUGUAGAGAUCAGCUGGCCAUGGGGAGCAAGGUGUCCUCACUAACAAGGGCAGAGCAGAGCUAAGGGAACGCUCACAAACUACUGGUGGCCUCACAUAAGGGCCCGAAACUAAUCCUUCUGUGGAACUGUGCUGGAGUCCUCUAACUUUGUGUUUCUGUUAUUGAGCUUUAAGCAUGCCACUGGCUUUCUCCCACUGCUCCAUACUGGCCUCACGUUCCAAAACACGCUAUGCUGGUCCGGCCUAGUGCUGUUUGCCAGUGUGAGCUCCUGCAGGAUUUGCCAGACACUGUUAGGACAGCACACUCAGGAGGUGAGAGUAUCUGUGAGACUGCUAAAAGUACUCUGGAAAAGCUUGGAAACCUUGGGAAGUGAACUCUGCCAUUUGGCAUGAUGUGUGUUUCAAAGGUAGCAGGAUUGCAGUCUGUCAGCAGGAUAUACUGCACAUGCAAAAGGGGAAAAAAAGCCUUUAAACUUUUCCAGUUGCAGGAUUGUGAAGAGAAUAUUAGCAAUAUUACUUAAUAGAAAGUAUUAAAAUGUAGUCAAGUUAGAUCAUCCAUGAUUUUCUGUAUUUUCUAUCAGAUAGCUAUAGCUGAAGUGUUUCGUAUUUAUAAUUAUAUGUGUCAAAAUAAAUGGCAGACAACAACAUGAACCUUCUAACAUAAGGCCACUAAUUUCAGCAACAGGAAUUCAACAGUUACUACUCAUCAUAUCAAAAGAUGCAUUAGUCUGGUUUUAUACCUGCUUUUCACUGUUUUAUACUUGUCUAUAAAUCAAUCUGCAAUGGCAAAUGAUGGACAAACCCCUUCUUUUCAUGAGUUUCCAACUAAACGCAGAUAUCCACCUCAGUAAAAUUACUCCCAUGCAUUUGGUGGACCCCUAUCUGCAGCUAGGCAGCAACCAUGAUGCAACCACACACAUGAAAAACAUAUUGGGGCCCAUUCUAUUACCUCAGAAUUUACUAACAAGUCUCCCUGUGCCAUCAACAUAAAAGAUAGAUCCAAUAAUUUCCUUCCGUUUCAUUCUUUUUGUGAAAGUUGCUGCUAUUUUGUUGGGUGUUUUCCUCCUUGAUUAUCACAGUCAUGUAUAGUUGAUACAACACUGAACAGAAGAUCCUUUCUGUCCACCAGGACACAAGCCCUGAGCAAAACAUACACCGAAAUCAACAUCUCAGGACAGGUUUAUUUGACAACCAAAGGGACCUUCUCACCCAUAGUUGAUAAUAUUUGUGCUCACUUGUUUGUCAAUUCUGCAUUAUCAUCUGCUAUAAAACACACAAGUUCUGAUCUGUAGUGGUUGUAUCUAUUUGGACAAGAGCCCUGAGGAUAGGGUGUCUGUUGUGGGUUUCAUUGCGGGUUUUUUUCUCUUUACUGUUGCUUUGAAUUAAUUGCAACUGCCUAUGGAAAUAUGAUCCCUUAAGAAUGUAGAGAAAUAUAUUAUUAAUGAUUAUGUAUGAAGAAUUGCUAGAUUCCCCUGCAUUCUGGCUGCUGUGAAUUUCACACCAUCAUCCCCAAAGAAAAACAUUAGGGAGAAAGUUAAGUCCAAUGUAACUUGAAAUGAAAACAGCAGUAUUUCCAAACCAAUAAUUUUUGACACAGGAAAUUCAGAGUUAAACAGAAGAAAAUCCAAGUGGUUCACUGACACAAUUAAAAUACCUGAGCAGCUUCCUUCCUCUUUGAUGUCAUAACUCCAGGAUGUGAUAAAGGUAAAUAAUUUUGCCAUGUCAUUUUAUGCUAUACAGAUAAGAUCAAACCCCUUUUUUUGGCUUUAAAAGUAUUUGCACUGCAUUUCACAGCAUCAGUUCAGUUUCUUUAUGGACUACAAAUGUACACCUGCCCUGUGCUUUUAGCUGGGUAACAUAACCAGAAGUUCUGAAAAUCAAAUUAUUUCUGACCAACCUAAAGAGGGAAAUGAAAACCUAAAUGGGAAUUGCAGAAGAGGCAAUGGGUUUCCCAGGUCUCAUGCCAACAGAGAUUCUUGCUGGGGGUUUUCCAGGUCAGGUUAAACUUCUUACUGUGUUAGAACUUGUUCUUAAAAAACCCCAUAGUUAAAAAUGAGCGGGAAUUCAAAACAUGGCCAAAGUUUUGCUCAAAACAAUAAGGGAUUUUUUUCUUUUCUAACUACAUUUGACAUUAUUUCUGCCACAGGCCUUGCCUCAAAGUUUACCAAGGAACUCUGUUCAAAAUAAUAUUUGCAAUGCUAUAUUUCAUUUGUAGAUGGUCAUGCAUAAUGAAGCACGCACAACAAAUUAGCAGUUGUGUGCUAAACUGGGAAAUGUUGUUGAAAUGGAAAAAAUAUAAAUUGAUAGAUUAUGGUGUUGCCACUGUAGUGUUCACUUAUACUCAAUGCUUCACAGAGAUAGUGCAGAAAUAAAUGUACAGCUAAAUUAUACACAGUUACACUCUGAAAUGCUCAAUAGAAAAGCCAUAUGUUGGACUCACCUGUUUCUGUUUCUUCUGCCUGUGUUCAUUCAAAACCCACCUCCAGUGGCACAGCAGUCCCAAGAACUGGCUACCCCUCUAACCUGCAGGUAAGAAGUUUCACUGAGGAUGAGAAAAGAUGAGAUUCCUCAUCUUGUGCUCCUAAAGGCAAUGUUCUGGUUGGGGGCCCAGGGGAGAGGCAGGUGUGCAGAGGGGCAUGGACAUGGCACACUUCUGACUCUCCUCCAAAGCAAAAGGGGGAAAACACCAUUGUUAAGUAAUUAAAGAGGAAUAGGAACAUCUUUAAUUUCUAUGUUUUCAAAGGCAGCUCUUCUGCAAACUUGUCAAAUUUAUACCUAGCACGACUAUCAUGUGUGACGCUCCAAGUCAUGGAGAAAAUUUAAAUUGUCAAUCGAGAUUGUGGAAAAAGGGUCCAUAACCCAAGAGACUACACGGAUGUUUACUCAAACAUAGUGAGCAUUACAUUUAACUUGCAUGCAAAUGCAGCUGCCUAUGCACCUACACCCAUAAUAUCUGUAAAGUGAAUGUAUAUUUCAUAUUUGGCUUAAGCAGCUACAUCCCACUUAAACUGGCCUUUUUGGCAAUGGCAUUUUUGCUUUUCCUUUGAGUGACAUAGCAUGCCCUUUGUUAUGCAUGCAAGUAAGCAUGAGUUGUUACAACUCCUUUUGUCAAAAGGUAAGGUUUUUCCUCAAAGCUUGUACUAAACUUACCAGCUUUUCAUGAGGUGCAGCCUGUCUUUGCAAGCUGAUGGGAUUGAUGUGGUCAUGAAUUGCUUGCAGUUUGUAUUUUUUGUAUUCUGUGUUUGUUCUUUUAUAUUUAGAAGUUGGAGUGCAUCCCUUCCUCUGCCACAGAACUUAAUGCAAGGGCUGGUUUAGGAGGUUCUUUGGAACCUUAGUGGAGCAGGUAUUCCCCAGUGGAGCCAGGAAGUGGAAGAAACUGUACCGACUGGGAGCCAAAUAGCAGCAAUGGAAAGUAAGUUUACUCACUCUGAAUCGUGCCAAACCGCAUAAUUUGGAAAAGAAUAUUGUGGCUCAACUUGGAAAGUACUAACUGGGCUCCAGCCAUCACUGUGAAAGCUGUAUAGUCUUUUAUUAUUUUAACUGGCCAAAUGCCCUUUGUUACCACAUUAACAGUCUCCCUGUGGUGCAUGUAACUUUGAUAUUAUUUCCACUUUUAAGCUAAAUUUGACCAGAUGAAAGACACAAACCCUCCAAUUUUGAAAUAAAAAAAAAAAAUAGCGUGUUUUGUUAAUCCUGUACUUCAGAAGGAAAGUCUGUGAAAACGAUAACCUUUGUCUGCUGGCCAAAGUUUUGUUCAGUAAACCCAUCCUGCCAGCUGUUCUUAUUGGCAAGGGGAAAGAUAAUAUUUUGGUAUCUUUAAUAUCUCCAUUUGGAGCCGAGGUUCUGCUUGUGCCAUCAUUUAAAUCAUGCAUGUUAACAUCGGCCUGGCAAACAAUGCUGCCCUUUAUAAAAAGGCCUCAGUUGGGAUGGUAUCACCGCAAUGUUGCAAUAAAGCUGCUUCAGACUGCCACAUACAGCUUAAACUACUAUGGGCUCUUGCAGGUGCUCUGGGCUGUGCUGCUGGAGAGCUGCUUCCAAAGGCCUAAAGGAGGCACUGAGAGAGAUUUAAAGGUGCAUUUUAGUCCAAUGUCACCAGGAGCCAAAGGCACAAAAUACCUCAAAAGCCUGGGCUCCCACUCCCAUGCCUUUGGUCCUCAUCUCUUGAAGCAGACUGGACAAGGAUCAGCCUGGUGACUGAGAUCCAGCCUCCAGCAAAUGAGGAGGGAUGGCCAGACAGAAACAGAGAGAUACAAAGUGGUCACCUAAAGCUCUAGGCCUAGACAGGGACACCUCCCACACUGAGAAUAUCUGAACCAACAUGCACAUAGGGAAUUCUUUCUCUCCAGAUCCAUCUUGAUUGCAAGUUUUAAUUUCUGCUGGAACAUAAAGGGUGUUUUCAUCAUGUUUAAGAACAUUUAAGAAUGUCUUUCUCCGUUUACAGGUAACCUGAAGCCAGGGUGUUUACAGGCAUACUGGAUCCCACACCUUGGCAGAGGAUUAUUUCUGCACAUGUUUCAGGACAGCUCAGCACUAAAGACUUAAAAGGGGAGAAAAAAAAUUUAUGAUCCUGCAAAAAUUUGCUUGGAUCCCUCGAAGGUUUCAAAGAUUUCUUAAAGUUCUCAAUGAGCACAAGCAAAAUGAUUGGUAUAAAAGUAGGUCUCAAGUCUUUGCCUGUCUAGACAUAAAGCCUCUUUCACUAAAAUGAAGCAUGAGGGGAAGACAAGAUUGUCUCUUUAAACAAGAAUUUAAUUCAUUUGUGCAUUACUGUAAUUAUACUACUAUCUUAAAUGCUCUCAGAUUAAUGGUGCUUGUGACAGGGCAACUUUGCUCAAUCUGAAACAGAACUGAGCCCCCCCGAACCUUACUGUCCCCUUUAUAGCCUUCUCCUUGUAUUUGACAGUGAAGGCCACAUUCCAAAGAAAAUGAGGAUAGUUCCUGUGUCCUGGCCACCUACAGCUUUUGUAACACCUUGAUGUAAAAGUUAAUACCAAAAUAGAUGCUGCAUUUUGUUAGCAGGGCCCAGCCCAACAACCACACUAAUGACAGUGCAAUUAUACCUGAGAUGCAAGUUUUCAUUUAAGUACAUUUCCCCUGGCAUCUCCAGUCUGUGAUUUUUUUGGGGAAAAAAAAGAAAGUAUUUUUUCAAGUUUUAAUUUCCUCCAGAAGCAUAAAAUCAUUCAAUAGUUUUUCCUCUCCUUCAGGUUAUCUUUCAUCACUGCAGAUACAGCUACGAGUGCUUAUUUGAAGUUUUCUUGCUUGCUGAACUGCCAGAGCCUUUCAGGGUACAUUUCAGGUAAGGUAAAUCCACCAAUCAAAUGCAAAGGCACUAGGGAAACAUAUUUUAAAAUGACAAAUACUUUUUGGUAGCACUCUCUCAGAUUACUUCCCCGAAUGUGGCUUUUUGCAGUUAGCCUGCCUCAUGCAGCAGCCUGCCUGCUCCCCAUAUGCCUCUAUGUCAUUAUUAAUGUGUACUGCAGCUCCACAAAGGUGUUCUGGGUGGAACUUGGCCCAGAGACCUUGGUCAGAGGGAAACUAUAAACCCUGGCCUCUAUGGAAGGGCAGUGUUCCUACUCUCCUGCUCCAAACCCUGCCAUGGGUGGCUGGGCAGCGUCAUCCCAUGCAGCACAACACCAGGGCAGCCACCAGGACACCACCAGGAAACACGCCAGGCUCAGCCCCACAGCUUGAGUUACUGGCACUCACCAGCUGCUCCUUGUGUGGAAGAACUUCAGCACCUUCCUCUUGCCAUACUAGCACAAGUAUUGUAAAUAAUACAAUCAAGGCAGUAAAUAAAAGUAGUGCGCCGAGAGAAAAGGAAACAUCUUCUAUUUUUAAACUUUGUUCACAACAACUUGAAAAAGGUAGAUGGUCACACCAUUUUAAAUAAAAGGAAAAGUUAUUGGGGUAAAAGGAAUCCACAGACACAGUACAUGAAGCUGACCCUGAAAGCCAUCUGACCUGUCAUUUGAAUCCUUCUGUAUCAAAGAACCAUGUUAACAAUAACUGUAAUGAAAUUAGACUUAUUAUGCAUGCAUGAGCAAUAAAACUCCCCCAAAAAAUCUACUAUGGUAGCACCUGGGGUUAAGAAAAAGAAAGUGGAAGGUUGCAAAAGAUGUAUCAAAAGUGACAAGCCCAAGAGGAAGAUACCUCCCAGCAGCAUGAGGUCUCAGAGUAAGCACAGAAAAAGCUGCUGUGGUUACAGAGGUAGUUUAUUACUAAAGAUUACAUCCCUCACAAAGUUUAAGGUGAAAAUAAGACCUAAAGCAUGAAGUGAUCAUAUGCCCAAAAUACAUUGACAGAUAUGAAAAACCUUUAGUUAAUACUUUCCUGUAGCAAGAAAAACACCUGUCAAAAAUGCUGUAGUAGAUUGCUAAGAUAUAAAGGAGCACACAGGAAAGAGAAGGUCCUACCAGUGAGCUGCAGGAAUUCUUUGCAUCCCUGUUUGCUCUAAACUCAAGGAGGUUCCCUUGCUGUAAGCCCUUUAUACAACAUACAUUGGAGAGAUCACUUAAAAUUAUAUAUCAGUUUGUUUGUAAGAAAGAGAAAAUAGAAGAAAUUGAAAACUAAGUUGUAACAAUUUCAAGGAUCAGUGUGCAUGGCAAAGAAAAGACAAAGAAGUGAACUCUCUAAAAUCAUGAGUAACAAAGAAAGGUCUAAUAAGGAAUGGAAGAUUUUUGUGGCAUGGGAAGCAGUGAACAAGGAUGCAUCAAAUCAUUAUCUGCUUGAAAACAAAGGAAACCAAAAGUAUUUCUUCCUACAACAUGGUAGUAACUUGGAGAAAAAAAUUAUUUAUUAGCCUCCUUGCCACAAAGAGCUGCGGUUUACAGAACUUGACGCGAGUUAAAGAUCUCCAGGACAAGCUCAUCCAUUGUCACUUGUUCAAUAGAAAGAUGCUACCUGUUACUUUGGAAGUUAUAUUGCUAGAAGUUCAGAAUAUAAGGUGGGUAGCUGUCACUACAUGAUUGUCAUUUUAUAAUGAUCUUUAGUAAUCACCCUCAGUAUUUGACCACUUUUCAUCACUUUUGGAGCCAGAAUACUAGGCUAGAUAGAUUUUUUUCAUCCUGAGCUAGAAAAUUAUUAAAUAUAAAAUGUUCUUUCAUAUUUGUUCUGUAAAAGAAAUCCUCACAUAAUAUGAGCUACUCGGGAUUCACCCACUUCUUCAGUUCUGUAACAAGUCACAGCCGCUGAGAACCCACUCAGAACACUCCAUUGUAAAUAAUGUUGGCUGACACAGCAAAACUGGAAAUGCAGGCUCACAAAGCACAGUUUGCAGUGAGCUUAUUGCACACACGACUGUCAGUUGGCCAUUUACUGAGCUUCCCGUGCACCGACCUCUACCAAAAUGGAAAGAGAAAAGAGAAGCAAUGGUACAGAGCCUGCAGUCCCCCUUUCCUGCAGCUCUUUGCUCUCAGGGGAUUUUCUAGGAUUUAUAUAAUACAGUGCUGAAGUGAAGCCAGGAUGCUGUGGGACAUUCAGCUUUCAUUUUCAUGGAUCAUUUUCAUUAGAAGACUUGACUGAAAUAUUCUGUUCCCUUUUCCCCAAAAUAUCCCUGAUGGUAAAUGCUUCUUCUACAGUACUUCACAGUGAAAUCUCUGAGACUUACAUAGCUCACACCUAGUUGUUCCACCUAAACUUUCUUUCACUCCAAUCUCCAGGUCAAAUAACUGCACCAAGUAAUUUAAAUAAUACAUAAUUCAUAUAAAACACUUUGCUUUGAACAAAAAUGCAAUAAUUCUUUUUUUUUUUGCAUUUUUAACCAGUGAAGCAGAGCUUCAGUCAUUUAGUGAACACCACAGCUUGAAGUUAACCAGUAAUCUUUUUUUCAGGACAUAUAUGGAGAGAGAAUUUUUCUAUUGUAAUGCAAUUCUCUAAUGAUCCAUAGUUAACAUAUUAGUUUGUUUUCUAUAUAACCUUGAGAAAAACACAAAGGGUAUUUCAUUAUUGUUUUAGAUAUGUAAACAUGCAAAAGUUUCCUGUUGCUUUAAGGAAUGACUUCUGUAAGCAGUUAUCUGUAGUACAUCUAAAUUAAAUAGCCACCUUAGAAGGAAGAGAAAACAUUUUGUAUUCAGUCAUUAAACAGAAUCAGGAACAGUUGCUAAAAUAAUGUAUCCCCAUUAUUCAUUAAUAUUAUGCUUCACUUGUAGGAUUAGAUACCUGAUAAGAGUUGUACCAGAACUAAAGAUGCUAAUGAAUGAUUAAAAGCUGAGGAGCAGAUGCGAAGGGCAAGCAGAACAAGAAUACCUCAUUCCUUUUUUUUCUGAGAACACUUAUGUGUUCUCCUUCAUUGUUUUCCACUGAGUUUUGCAUUCCUAUCUCUACCAUAUAAUGGGCUGAUCUAGGACUGGAUUGGGACUCUUUCCAAUCUUGUGGAAAGCUGUCUUUCUUAAACUGUGACAAAAUAAUCAAAAACUUGACAAAUUUUAUUAACUAAGAGUCAUAAUAAUGUCAAAAAUGUCAAUAGAAAUAUUUCAUUUAGGUGAUCUUUGAAGCAUUCCAACAGUACUUAUGCCUUAUAACUAAAAGCCAUUUUACAGAAAACCAAAAUCUUUAAUUUGAUGUGUCAAAAUCUUGUUUCAUAAAAACUAAUUUUUUCAUGGCCUUGAAAUCUGAUUUGACCUAUUUCUGACAAAGUUUUGGCUAAGACAAAUAGACGCCUUUUUGGAUGAAACUCAUUUUGUCAAAAGAGCUCCAAGCUAACUCUGCUGUCCAUGACUGUCUGUACAAAUAUCACAGGAAACUUCUGGUAUACGCAAAGGCUUAAUCAGCUGGAACUUGACUAACACGCAGACACAUAUCUAACUGAUCCCCAGCUGACUAGGAAAUCUGUGUCCCAUAUGCUGUUUAAAAAGGGAGCUUGGAAAAUUUAAUUAGUCAGGAGAAAGAAUUGGAGCUUGGUUUCCUGGGUUGUUUAUUUGUUUGUUUUUUACAUCUUUUUCUUUUUUUUUUUUACUUUAUAUGCCUAUUCAAGCCCCAUAUAUUCACCUAAUCUAUAGAUUGCUGUCCUGCUCACAAGGUUUGUACCCUGCAUUACCUAAAUUCACUGAGAAUUUUAUUUGCAUCCCAAGAAUUCAGGUCACAGAGAAACCACCUUGAGAACCCAGGAGAUGAGUAAACCCAUUGUGAGUUUACUCACACAUGCUAGCCUGCCUGGGAAAUUAGCAUGCAGUCAUUUAUACCACAAAUGAAUACUUCACCAAAUCAGUGCCUUUCAGUCAUAGCUGUCAGCGGACUUCUCGUUUUCUUUUUUUUUCCUAGCACAAAGGCACAGUUUCAGGUAGGAAAUCAAAGCUCCCUGACUCUUCAUAGGUAAAUUUGCACAGAUCUCUUGUAAACAGGUCUCAGACCCCCUGAAUCCAUGGACUACAUGUGGAAAAUGGUCCCAGCACUACAAACUUGUUUCCACACAGAAAUACCUCACAGUGCACAAAGACUGUGAAGUACCUUUACACUGCUUUCAAAAAAUCUAUUUAUUUCAAGUUCAGCUACUCUCUGGUUACAAACACAGACCUGUGUGACAGACCUAAGUGACUUGUCCAAGUGACAAUGGGAGAUUCUGGAUUGUGAUUAGAAAGCUGAUUGAUUACCUAGUCCCAUAAUCCUGUGUUUUCUGGUUCCAGCUCCAGGGAUUUUGCCAAACCACUUUGAGAAAAUUUUCCUCCUGCUCAAUGAAGAAUUGUGCUGGUGAUGCAAAAUAGAAAAUCUUGUUGCAUUUCUUGGGCAUGAUGAAGUGUUCAUGGCACCAGCAGAGACUUUGGUUUUACACUUAAGCCUUAUUAAGGCUUGGUUACUUGUUAGGGUGGUAGGAAAGCAAGCAGAGAGCCUGAUGUGCUGUGCCAGAGCAGCUUUGCCAAGCCCUGCAGAGGCAGUCCAGGGGAUUACCAGCCAGCUGCCUGCCCUGGGCAGGGCAGGGUGCCAGCCCUCAGCUGCUCCCCUUGCUCUCCUGACUCAGAACGUGCACAAACACACUUGGGUCUCCCUGUGACAUCUGCACUUAAAAAGCAAGAGGAAAAUGCAGGGCCUGGAAAAGACCAUCUCCCUGAUGGCAGGGCACAAACAGCUGUCCUCUAGCAAAUCUAACCACAGCCAUCCCUGCACUGAACCAGAGUGAGAGUCAGUUCAGGCUAAAAAUAAUCCGAUCUUUUUUGGAAGUAUGGCAGGGCAGGAGCCAGGUUCUUGGCCCCAUAAACAAUUUUACAAGAGCUAAAGGAGGGCAUAGGCUGGGAAUGAGCAGCUGGGGGCUGUUAAGAUGUCAUUGUCAGUGAAUGGCACUGCUUCCCUGAAUUUUCACUACAACAGAGCUUGAGUGUUCAGAUAAUCAGCCACGACAUCUGAGAUAUGGGAGCAGAUGGGCCAAUACCUGCUUAGAGUGCUCUAGUUUGAGUCACUGAAAAGGACAUCUGCCUCUGCUCUCAGGCCAGGUGCCUCAGCAGCCCCACCGCAGCUGGGCAGCAUCUUCUGUGUGUUUGUGAGUGGGUAUUUCUCAGAAGCCUGUACUCUUAGAGCUAUUUUGAAUGAAUUAAUCACAAGGCAGCCAAAACCCCUCCUGCUGUUAAAAUGUACUGAAUAUUGAGUCCUUGUUGUAACACAGGAAGGUACCACAGCUCCCCAGAGAAACAGUUGCAAGAAUGUUUUGAAGAUGCCAAACCCUGCAACCUUUUCUCUUAGCCUAGUUCAACAAAAUAACAGUAUCUGAAACUUUUUUACUCUGGGGCACACAAGUUUUCCAGACUCCAGCCUUCAGAAUGAAAACUUAGCAUGGUUAGUGAUAUCUGAAAUUUCUGAAGACAAAUAUUGGACACCUGUGGCUACAUUAUCCUUACAUCUAAAAACUUGCCCUGUCUGUUUCCUUGUAUCAAGUUCCAGGCCCACCAUAUUUUUGUCAGUAACACUCGAGUCAGUGUACAACACCAGAAGCGCAUAGAAAUGAUAACAUGAAAGAGCUGAAUAAAAGGAAUAAAAGGCACUGAAAAACUAAACCAGAAACAAGUCAUUGCUUAAGAAUUAUUGUUUUAUUUGCUUGUCAUUAGACAUCUGUUCAUAGGAACUGUAAACGUUCCACUUUGGGCCUGGGCUUAAUAGUGUCAACUUUGCAGGGAUGCCUUCUUCUUCCUCAUUGUUUUCACUUGGUUUCUAGGGCAAACAAAACUCUUUUUUUUUUUUUUUAGUCCUUUAAUAAAUUAAAGCUGUUAUAGAGUUAGAAGUAAAUAACUGCACAGUAUGGCAAUUUCUAUCCAGCAAGCUUCAGAACAAAACGAAGAUCAUUAUAUGCACUGUAUCCAACUCUUUCUUGCUCCAUUUGUGCCCUCCUUCCCCCCCACCCUGGUAAUCCCCAGAACUCUGUGGUGACUGAGUAGAAUUUGAGGUCAAGUUUUGUCCUGAAAAAAUGUGGAGCUAGCCCUCCUCUUCCUCCCCUCACCCUGUCAUCUGCUGACAUUUCCAGAUGACAGUGUGCUGAAUCUGAACUGUUUCUUUUGCUGGGAAUGCCAUCUGUGAGGUGGCAGCUGGGGUGGGAGGGAAGGCACAUGGCAAAUGAACAGUGAUAAAUAUAGACAGUAGACUAAAUUAGAGGAAGUUCCACUUCUUUGCAGUGUUACAGACCUUUGCAUGCUUCCAUUAAGUGGAUGCAGCUUUUCUAACUGGUGUUUGAAUAGCUGGAUUGCUUAGCAAGGGAGCAAAGUCAGAACAUGGGAACAGAGAUGUCAAAAAAGCCAGCUUGGGCAAAAAUGCUCAGACUACUGAAAUUUCCUAAGUCAUUCAUAGUUCCACUCCAUUUCUAUCAUAUUAUAAUAUCCUAAAACUAGCAAGGGAGAAGAAAAAGAAGAUGAGCGUGUGUAUUGUCAAAAGGCAUAUGUCAUAAAUCAUCCAAAAUGAAAAAUCAGUGAAGAUCUGAGGGAAUAUUUCUUGUAGAGCUGAGAUAAAACCAGUGUCCAUAUCAUUGACAACUGAACAUGAAUUCUACCAAAAAAAAAAAAUGCUGGCAUAAUAUUUUAAUUUCUCACUUUAAUACUUAAAAGGACCACUUAUAUUUGAAACAUAUUUUUCCCUGCAUUACAGAAAGAACAAUAAUUAAAACCUCAUCUUAAGACAUUGAAUUCUGUAAAUAAGGUGAUGUCAGAGGAAAUUCUAGAGACUGAAUUUUUUCUCAUAUUUCUUCACUAAAAGAUUGCUAACAGCAUCUUAUCUGCACAGAAACACAGAAGGCCAAGGAGGGAAGGAACGUCUGGAGAUCUUCAGGUCCAACUGCUCACACAGCAGGGUCCAAAAGGUAUCAGGUUGCUCAGGGCCAUAUCCAGUUGCAUUUUGAACUAUCUCCAAAAACACAGACUUCACUUCUCUCUCAUUCAGUGUUUGAUUACUCUCACAGGACAAAAUUUUCUUCUGUUUAAUGGAAUUCUCCGUCUCAAUUUGUGCCUACUGCCUCCUACCCUUCCCUGGAUAUCAGUGAGAAGGGAAUAGUUGUGUCUUCUUUGCAUCAUCCUGUAUUUAUAUACAUGGAUAAGAUCAUACCUAAGCCAUUUCUUCUCAAGGAUAACACAUUAAUAAAUAUUAGUAAAACAUUAAUAAAAUAUGUAAAUAUAUAUGUUUACUUUGGAAUCACUUCAGGAAUAUCUGCCCUAAUUUAUCUAUGGUUUUCACACUGAAUACAGCUUCCAAGAUAUCUUUUAGGCUAGUGCCAUUGUUGUUAGGGGUUUCAUGAACAGGAGAAGGAGACUAAGCAAUAUUGUAUUCUUUCAAACUAUACCUAGGUAAGUAAUUUGGUAAGACAUUCUUCUCUUCCUUUCAGUGUUCAAUUAGAAAUUACACACAUUUCAACUUUUUUUAUCUUACUCCUGGGGUUUUUCUAAAGUUCAUUAAUUUUAAGAGCAAACAAUGACAAGAAGUGAGUUCGAUCCUUGACCAAGCCUACAGCUGCACUACACCUGAAGGAACUAAACCGCACAGAAUCCUUUAGGUGCAUUUUAAUUUAUGGAAGUUGGAUUCAUAUCCCAAAUUCACUUGAUUCACCUUAACUUUCUUGGCUGACUUUAUUUAGCAUUGCCUGGAAGUAAAAGUUCCAUGUUCAGUGCUGUUGAUCUCCAUACACAAGACCUGAAGCGAAGGAAAGGACAUGUCAUACCAGCAAACAAAUUUAGCUGGUGUUGGCUCACUUCAGCUAAAUCCGUGUAAUCAAAAGUGUAAAACUACACACACAUGUCAGUUGUAAUAAUCUUGUCACUCUGUCCUCUCUUCAGGUUUCCUAAAAUGCAAGUCCUCUGUGGCAGUAAUAUUUACCUGCUGUGCAAGAUUUUUUUUUCUGUUAGGAUAAUGCACAGACAUCUUACAUCUUCAUUUAGGCAUUAAAUCUUUUAAAGCUGAUACCCCAUGCUGAUAAACAGGUUUCCCAACAGCCAGCAUGAGGUUCAUAUCACCAGCAGUGCAUAUCUCAUCUGGGUGGGGAAAACCACACAGCAGCUACCUGUACAGGCUGCAGUUCCAUGCUUCCCCCUCAGGUGCCAUGCCAGCUCCCUCCUCCUGCUGGUGGAGCUGAUCCCCUUUAUCCUUGCACCACUUUUGACACUCACCACUGAGAGAAAUUUCUGCAUGGUUGCCCACCAAAAAAACCACAAGUUCUCUCUCUGCUGGGCCAGAUUCCUGAUGCCUUAGCACAUUGAAACACUUCAGUGACCAGGGUCAGCCAGCACCCAGCCAAGCCACAGUGUCAAGAGCUGACUGUCUUUGCACUCUGAAUGACACUCCUGGAACAUUCCAAGGGGAUUGGGAAAGCGAGCAGGAAGUGUCCUGGUUUAAAAAUGGGUCCCCAGUGUCAGAGAGCCGGCUGAAACAAGGGGACAGCGUGCUACCAAAUGAGCUAAUUGCAAGCAUCAGUCAAUUUAUAAACACUGGUAGAGUGUUAGAGCGAAGGAUCUGUUUAUUUGAUUCUGUUUAUUUGAAAUACAGGCCAUACAUAGAUUUUAAUGUAAGUUUUGGAGGCUCAUUUUUGAAAGCACAUCAUAAUUCCAGAAUAUUCUAAACCUAUACUAUUACACAUAAUUGUCCUCUACAGUGCCCAUGAUGGAUUAACAAACAAAGGUGAGCUAACAUGCACCACAUAAAAAUGAAGAAUAACCCACACCUCCAGUUUUCAUGGGAGAUAUAUUACAACCAUUCAGAUAAUUCCUGUGGGCUCACUUUCUGGCCUUGGUGGAGCAGUUUUCUUUGUCCUUUGCAGUUUACCUUAAAAUCUUUCAAUUUGAUUAAGAACUUACAAUUUUUCUUGAGGAAGAACCAGAACAAAAGGUCAUCUGCAAUAAAUUCAAGAAAGUUUUUUCACCAUUUCUAGUCAGUGGCUCACAGAACAGUAAAUAAAGCACAAGCAGAUUAUUAUGAUAUCUCAAGAAUAUUCAAUCCCAUUGUUUUGCAUAAAAUUCUACUGAAAUUCUUAAGGUGUCAAGUAAGCCUCUGAAUUCUGUUUGAAUAAAAUUAACUUCACAAAUCUCACUGUGUCCUUAGUCUAUUAAUUUUUCAGGUAUCUUGACAUUAAAGACCAAAAAAAUCUCCACCAAAAAAUUGAGAUACACUCAUAAAAAUGUAAAGUUUAUUGACCCACUUUAUUUAAGGUUCUGUGUGAAAAUGGAGAAACUGCAUGACUGCUGAUGUGUAAUUAAGAGACAACAAUUUGAGUGAACUGGUUCUCAUUCUUGAACAUUUCAUGCAGUUCAUGUACUCCCAAAAACAGAAAUGGAGUCAACACAAUGCAUGAGGAUCAGAUUUUGAUCAUCCAAGGCUAUUUAUACCACAUCAGAGACCUCCAGCACACAUUUGCACAUACUCCACAGUUUCUGUAAGAAAGCAGGAGUACUAUCUGUAUCCUAAUUUUCUUGAACUCUUUUCUGACACAAAAGCUUUGGUGCUCAGAAAACACUUUCCUGUAUCUUGGUGUUUGUGGAUCUAUCUAUUUUAAGUGGCAGGUACUACACAUCUGUUUUGUUCUUCAAGAAAUAUUUGCCAAUUCAAAAAUUGAGUGAUGACUGAGCUGGGUAACUAGUUUAAUAAUAAGUGGAUUUGGUAAGAAAGCAACUUACUGAAAUGGCCACAGAGGUUUUUAUUGAGGUCCCAAUAGACUUGGUGCCUCCUCUCCUGUAGGAACCUCUCAUGGAUGGUCCCAUUUCCACCUCAACCAUCCAAAUUACUUACUUCUUACUAAAACACUGCAUGUGGUGGAUAACUGGGAGAAUUACAAUUUUAAAAAGCAGAAAAUUACAUUUUUAGUUGUGAAGAACGAGCCUGGUUUUGAACAUCUUACAGGAGCAGUAUUCUGGUUUUUACACAGCACACCUCCCCACCAGAAUUUUCUGUGUGUGGGAAGAAAAUAAAGCAGCAUUCAUUCUAUGUUGUAGGCAGAGAUCUUAAAAAACCCACCGACCCAAACAAAAGAAGAUCCACUAAAACAAAAGCCCCCAAACAGCAGCCAUUCUUGUUCUGGGAAAGAUAUUUGUGACAGUUCCAUUUCCCUGGAAGAAAAACUUCUCAAGAACUUUUUGAGAAGAUUUCAAAAUUUCUCAAUUUUCAGGGAGAAAUGUCAAGAUUUCAAUAAGUAUUUUGGCUUCCUGGGAAAGAAGGAGGAAAGCCCUCACAGCCCAGAGCAGGAAUGUUGACUGCAUAGCACUCUUCCCCAAACACUGGAGAAUAUUCCUUGCUGUACACUUGCAGGCAUGACAGGGAGAAAGGAGUAGGAUGAUAGCCUGCUUCCCUUCUGAUAGUGGUGCUUGAGAAAUGUCCAUGCUUCCUGGGAUGGGUUACACAGGUACACAGUAGCACAGCAGCCUCUGCAGACACACAGUAAGAAAACAGUCCAGUGAAACCAAACGCCUCAGCCUGACUCUUCCUGACCUUCCUGGCUCUGACCUCUGUGUGUACAGUGCAGCCCUCACACAAUUACAUGGAAAGCAGUUUUUUGUAUUGAAGGAAUCCAUUAGAGAUGGAUUUGAACUUUUGUUCAGCCUCCUGCCACCGAUGUGCACCGUGAUUGCCAGGCACAGAAAACACAGCCCACUUGUCUCCAUUUUCUUCCUUCUUGACCCAGAAAGUUCGCAUGAUGUGCUAGUAGUAGUCCAGAAGUGGUCAAAUUAGUGAAUGAAUAAGCUUAUAAGGUAAUGAAUAAGCUGUCAUUCAAAGACUGAUUUUUAAAUAUCCUUUCCAUUGCUUAGUAAGCCUUGAUAAACAGGUGCACCAAAAAACAGUUUAUGCUGGAAAUUGCAUCCAAGCUGAAAUCAGCUCUUUGUCAGAAGGAAAAAGUUUAGAGAGAAAAAGAUAAAUAGGGUGAAAGAGAAAGGAUGGCAGUAUGAACAACAGUGGAAAAAACCUACCAGUGAAACAUAAGUGCUGUGGUUGAAAUUAUUUUCUCUGUUGUUCUCUUGGGAGAACAUUCAAUGAACCUGGGCAGCUAAGUGUCUUCUGAGGUUUCCCCUCCAGCAUGUGGAGAGGAACAUAGUCCCCUGAGAGGCAGUGAGAGCAGAAGUUUGGGUAGGUGCGCUAAACAUUGCCUGGAGGAAUCUUGUCCUUCACACAAUGCUGAAAAUUAGGACACUGUCUGGCUAAGUGAAGUACUUCACAUUGGAUGUUCCACAUGAAAAAAGACUUGUUAGCAUUUUAAAGGGGAGGAUAGCAGUGUUACCUGAGUAUAAUUAUUACAGAAUCCUGGAAAUUCAAAUUCUUGUUUUUACACAUAUUCAUUCAUGCAAAUGUGGAGCCUGACCCAGAAAUUUUAUUCAGGUGAGUAAUCUGCCUUUGACUUCAAUGGGAUUCUGCCAUAUAUGAACAAAACAAUCAAACCAUGUUUUGCAUUUGCAGUCACCUCCAUUUAUCUUUCAGAGGGACUGUUGAGUUGUAAAAAUGCCCAAAUCAUGCCAAUUUGUCCAGACGAGAUAUCAAAUCUCCUUUUUAAUAUUCAGCUUCAGCAAUAUGGAAAGCAACACUGCCAAAUACUUCAUAACCAUUUUACUGGGAUUACUCACAUUUUGAUUAGAAAAUUCUCAUUUCACAUGGGUGUUGUCACCUGCCCUGUGCUAGAUAUAUCAUCUCUGCUGUGCAAUUAAUUACACAAACACUGAAAAAUGAGUUUAUGACCUGGAAUGGAGUUUUGAUAAACUCCUCUGAAGACAUACCUGAAACAGAGCCCAGUAGAAUCCUGAACAGAUAGAAAUGAUUUAUGCAUAUACAAUGGCACACACAGCCUCCAAAAAAACUGAAGACCUGCCAGGAGCAGCAGUAGUUCAAUAUCUGGUUUGAAAUGAAGAAUGCAAAAGAGACCAUAACUGAGGAAUGAGGCACUGAAUCCUGCAGCAGAGGGAAGGUAAGGAGAAUGCUAAUAAUUUGAGAGAUUUACAGCAUCCAUGUACUUCCUGAGGCAAAGGGGUGAGGGUGGGACACAGAACCAGAAGGGUAAGGACAACAGACAUGGAAAGCUUCAAAUCAACGGGGCUGUUUUGUUAUUAGGGAGUAAAUACCCGGCUUUCUGAGCCACAUGUCUAACUCAUCUACCACAUGAGUGGUAGAUGGUCGCACAAGAGUGACCCUAACAGGUCCCUUACUUUGCCGCCUGUCCUGCACAGGCUGAACGCUGACUGUGCCACUACCUCAGCUGCCUGUGGGUGAGCUCAGCCCAAUGCUCUGUCUCUCCUGGGGCUGAGGCUCCAAAUGGCAGCAAAUCUGAGGCAGCAGCCAGCUCCCACGGCAAGGGGUGUCCCCACAUGUCGGUUGUUGUCACCUCCUCCUCACCACCAGCCGUGGUCCUUAUCUGGCCCCUGGGUGACCUGGUGCAGGGCAGGGACAGGCCAGGCCAACCCUCCCCAGAGGGGCACUUCUCAGUGUGCUGCUGUCUUAGCCGACAGAGCCAUUGAACAGCAGCAAGCACAAGGCAUUGCUAAAAGCUCUCUGAGUGUCUUUUCACAUGUGGGCUAGAAAAGUGGGAGGCUGUGGUAUUGCCGCAGCAACCAAGAGACCCGAAAUAAGCAGGAUGGUGAGCACCAUGCUGAAAACACAUUUUCUUAUUCCCUGGAGCAAAUACAUUUGGUGCCUCAUACUGAAAAAGAAAUAAACCAAACAAACAAAAACAGCAGGUUAGGACCUGGAAAACAAAACCAGCUAAACAUAAAUAAAUCAUGGACAUCUUGCAAUAUAGUAAAAUACUUAGGCAUUGUCAUCUGUUGCUUAUUACAGUUUCAUUUACAUUGGAAUUUUCUCUGUUUUCCUGCAACAGUUGUGUUACUGUAUUAUUUUAAAGCUAGUCAGUAAUGUGAGUAGAAGAGUCUAUCUUUGCAUUAUUCUGGCCAAUAUUAUAUCAUACUGUGUAAGAAAUGAGAGUUAAAUCAAUUUUAAUGUACCAUUUUAGUAAGAUUACAACCACAGUUCUCGAUUGCAAUUAUGGAGAUAAUUGCAAUUUCAUUGGUACUGCUUAAUAUUAAGAAUACAAAAUUUACCUUUGAUGAAAAGAUCAUUAUGUAAGAUGAACCCAAGUUAUUUUUCUUUUAAAUUGCAUCUUGGCUUGUUUUAUUUCUUAACUUUGACUAUUUAAUAAAGGCAUAAAGAGUUUUACAGGUAGGGUAUACAGAAACAGGCUGACUGGUUUGACAUCAAAUUCCUGUACAGUGAUUUGAGAAGAAAAAAGCAUUCACUUUGAAACAACUCUGGAGGCUGAGUACAGAGAUUAUAAAAUGUAAGUUUUAUAUAUGCAGAAAAAUUGCUUUUGCAUGAAUUUACUUUUAAAAUGUUAAUAUAUGCAUAAGAAAAUUGUGUUUCUUAAUCUCUGAAGAAACACUUAUCACUAGGAACCGCUUAAUUCUUUUCCUGUGCUUGAUUUAUUAGCUUAUGAAAUUAUGGUAAUAGUUUGCAUGUUAAUGGUUUUGGGGCUCAAAUGACCUGAUUUUAAUAAUGAAGUAAUUUAUGCAGUAAAUGUAAUCAGCAUCUAUGAAUCUCACUUAAAAGAACAUGCCAGUGAUUACCUAUGCUAAAAACAAAUGGCUGUCAGCAUGGUACACGCUGUAUGUUAUGACAGGUAACUGGGAUGUGCUCAGCUCAGCACACCCUUCAGGCUGGCUGGGCCCUGCUCUGGUGAGCACCACUGAAGCUGGCAACUGCAGCUCUAACAACUGUGUACAGACCUGCCAUCACAGGCUGACUUUGGCUCUUGGUCAUCUUCUAAGGAAAAGGACAAGGACAGGAGAUGGGCACGGCCAGAACUCAAGCUGGAACCAGUAGGAAUUCCUGCACGAGUAGAAAAAUCCUGUGGCACAGAGAGCUGACACACCUGGACAAAGCAAAUUGCAGGAAGAAAGUGUUUGUUUAGGGAAGAAGUUGGAAGUCCUAAUAAUUACAAGAAAAAGGAGAUUUUUAUUAAGGAUUUGACCUGCAUGGCAUAUAAAAGAUGCAACCUCCGGCAACAUUUGGUAAGCCUAUGUGAAACAGAUCCAUCACAAGGAUUCUUUCCUAAAACAUCUGUAUUUACAGACCUGCUCACUGUCAAGAUGCCUAUGAACCAUGCCUCUGUUCCCUUGUGUCGUUUACAGGGCUGUUCCCCAACAUGAGAAGAAACACUAGACUGGGCUUUGAAAAGCAAAGAGCAAUGCUUUCUUUGCAGUAAGGCAAGCUUGUGUUUUGAUAACCUGCUGAACACUGAGAUUCAUUUUGGUAUAAAAGAUUCAAAAUUUUAUUACUAGCUGCCAAAUAUGAUCUAACUGUUCAAACACACAGACAGAAGCUGAAGGAGGUCAGAUUGGACAUUAGCCAAAAUGUACAAAGUCAAUGGAAGAAACCCCAUUGAUUCAGCAGAGCUGGAUCAUUUGUUCACCAAAGAAAUCCCUAAGGGCCGGAAGUCCUCACCACUUCCAAGGAUCAGAACUGUAAAAUUACCUUUUGUAAUUAAUAAAUACUUUGCAUGCAGCACCUCAAGCACAAUAAAAAACUGUCUUCAAACACCAUUUCCACAGCUGCUCAUUUUUCAAAGCAAAAAGGUGUUCUGUUCUGGAGUAUGGCUAAUGCUCUCUAUUCCAGAAUUCACACUGUUAGCUUUAAGAAAUUUAUGUUAUAUCCUAAAGGCAAAACAAGCAGAAGCAGAAGGAUAAGAUAGUUUAGCAUUUUUCAAGUUUUAUUAUGUCAGCCACAGGGUCCAUGGAAGCCCAAGGAAGGUAUGGAUCUUGCAACAGAAGUCCUUCGAACCCUACCCCUGCCCUCCACUGUGUAUUCAGGCGCUGAGCAGAGCCUCACUGAGGGAAUGGAGGCAGCCAAGCCAAGCGCAGAGGGUGGCCAAGCUGACCCUCCACAUUAGCCCUGGAUAGGAGCUGGGCAGGGCAGAACCAGCCUGGUAAGAAAGCAUCCCUGCAGAGGGAGAGACGGGGCUUAUCCUUGAAGCGGCCCCGUCCCCAGUUCCCGAGGAGCCCCGGCUCAGCUGAGCCCCGCCGCGCAGUCAGACGAGCCGAUCAAAGGCGGUGUGUUUGCUUUAGACGGGAUGCCAUGCCCGCUGUUGCCAUGGCGCCGUGACAGCUUAAUGAGCUGUCGCCUGUCACCCGAGCCGCUGUCACCGGGCUCCGCGGCUGCCCUGCCCCCGCUGCCCGCGGAAAGCGGCUCGGCAGCCCCUGGGAAAGGCCCAUCCAUGGGCCCGGGAGCUCCGAGCUGCCUGCCCGGGCCUCUCGCAGGCCCAGACAUCCUUGUCUCGCCAAGCAGGAUUUCUGGAGGUGAAAUUUCCCCUCCUCCAUUUCCCUGUGUUGUGCCUGGAGGACAUUCCCCUGACAAGAGGGACCUGCUGUCGGCGGCGGAGGCAGGGUCAGGAAGGCGGAAAAUAAAAGGAGAAAUUUCAAAGUUCAGACAGUUUUCUUGGCAGACUGUGACAGCUCAAAGGGGUGAGGAUCUGUCUGAUGUUUACUUGGAAAUCCAACAAGAAUAGCUCGCCGCUGACAAUCCAGGCUCGCAAACGCGAGCCCGAGCCGCAGAGCCCCAGCACCGGUUCCGCUUCCCAUGGGACACACAGACAGACACCCGGACAGCCAGCACCUGCCUCUCGAAAACAAACAGGAAAAUCCCGGCCUGCUCUAUCUUCUCUUCCUGUGGGAAUCUCAGUCUUAGGACGGGGGCCCUGCGGUUUCCCCGGCUGGGAGAGGAAAGGGAACGCUGCCGGGAGCGCCCUUUGCUCCCAGACACAGGCUGGGCGCUGGGAAGGCGGCAGCAUCCCCUGCCUGCCGCUCUGGCUGAGAGCUUCCCAUGAGGGAAGGGCAAUGGAGGCUCACAUUCGGUGGCGGAAGAGUGUGAAAUCCGCAGGGAAGAGCCGGGGGAGCUCUAGUGCAUCCUCAUCAGCUGUGCCUUGUGUAACCAUGGCUGCUGAGCUGCAGCACGGACGGCUGGGAGGUUUCAUUCUGGCAUGUGAGCUCCGAGCACUGAAACACAGUGCUUACAAAUGGACUAAUUUCCUCUGGGUAGAACACUGCACCCCCAGAAAUUAGCUUGGUAGAAACCAGUUUUGUAUUUAUUAGCUUAUCUGUGUUAAUGCAGAACAGAAACAUACCACAACACACCCAAAAUGUUAGGUGAUUUCAGGCUAUCAGUUUGUUCAUUAGCUGGCUUAAAUAACAGCACGCUGUUAGCACAACCAUCUUUGUUUCAUGCUAGUCUUGUUUCUUACAUCGUGUCUUGAUUUAAUAUCAGUCUUUAAAUACUUCUGGGCAAGAACCUGUUUCUCUUUAUAUUCGUUCUACCCUUAAUAAAUAAGCCUAUGUUCCAACAA